CGACGACGGUAGCGCUGAGAGGGCGACGCACACUGGACUGAGACACGCCAGACUCUACGGAGCAGCAGUGGGGAAUAUGCACAAUGGGGGAAACCUGAUGCAGCGACGCAGCGUGCGGGAUGACGGCCUUCGGGUUGUAAACCGCUUUCAGCAGGGAAGAAGCCUUUCGGGGUGACGGUACCUGCAGAAGAAGUACCGGCUAACUACGUGCCAGCAGCCGCGGUAAUACGUAGGGUACAAGCGUUGUCCGGAAUUAUUGGGCGUAAAGAGCUCGUAGGUGGUUGGUCACGUCUGCUGUGGAAACGCAACGCUUAACGUUGCGCGUGCAGUGGGUACGGGCUGACUAGAGUGCAGUAGGGGAGUCUGGAAUUCCUGGUGUAGCGGUGAAAUGCGCAGAUAUCAGGAGGAACACCGGUGGCGAAGGCGGGACUCUGGGCUGUAACUGACACUGAGGAGCGAAAGCAUGGGGAGCGAACAGGAUUAGAUACCCUGGUAGUCCAUGCCGUAAACGUUGGGCACUAGGUGUGGGGGACAUUCCACGUUCUCCGCGCCGUAGCUAACGCAUUAAGUGCCCCGCCUGGGGAGUACGGUCGCAAGGCUAAAACUCAAAGGAAUUGACGGGGGCCCGCACAAGCGGCGGAGCAUGCGGAUUAAUUCGAUGCAACGCGAAGAACCUUACCAAGGCUUGACAUACACCAGACCGUUCUGGAAACAGUUCCUCCCCUUUGGGGUUGGUGUACAGGUGGUGCAUGGUUGUCGUCAGCUCGUGUCGUGAGAUGUUGGGUUAAGUCCCGCAACGAGCGCAACCCUCGUUCUAUGUUGCCAGCACGUGAUGGUGGGAACUCAUAGGAGACUGCCGGGGUCAACUCGGAGGAAGGUGGGGAUGACGUCAAAUCAUCAUGCCCUUUAUGUCUUGGGCUUCACGCAUGCUACAAUGGCUGGUACAGAGAGAUGCGAGACCGCGAGGUUUUAGCGAAUCCCUUAAAGCCAGUCUCAGUUCGGAUCGUAGUCUGCAAUUCGACUACGUGAAGUCGGAGUCGCUAGUAAUCGCAGAUCAGAACGUGC
This 1065-nucleotide ribosomal RNA is filed under the name uncultured bacterium. RNAcentral describes it as "bacterial SSU rRNA". It matches the Rfam family "Bacterial small subunit ribosomal RNA", at positions 274 to 1360 of the family's 1533-position model. The record is from RNAcentral.